AAAGUUUACGUAGCGUUGGUUGUUUUUAAAUCCUUCCAUCUGUCACACAGAGACCAUGACAUGAACGAAGAGCCUCCAACUACGAUCAAUGACACUCACGAGACUGAAGCCCUUUCAGUUGAACAAGACAAUCAUGAGCUCAGAAAGCGGUUGUCUCCUCAGAAAAGUCAAGAACCCAACAUAAUACCAUCACCUUUACCAGCAAGAAGACUUUUUGUUGACCAGUGUUGACUCCUCAGUGACAGAAAGGAGCAACAAGUCAAACCUGAUCAGAACUACAUCAAAGCUUGACGCA
This is a long non-coding RNA of Stegastes partitus (bicolor damselfish), 295 nucleotides long. RefSeq lists it as uncharacterized. Lineage: Eukaryota; Metazoa; Chordata; Actinopteri; Pomacentridae. The transcript is spliced from 2 exons. The record is from RefSeq and is a predicted model, not a curated record.